GUGUCAGCCGCCGCGGUAAUACGUAGGUGGCGAGCGUUGUCCGGAAUUACUGGGUGUAAAGGGCGUGUAGGCGGGAAGACAAGUCAGAUGUGAAACCCCACGGCUUAACUGUGGGACUGCAACUGAAACUGUAUUUCUUGAGUACUGGAGAGGGAAGUGGAAUUCCUAGUGUAGCGGUGAAAUGCGUAGAUAUUAGGAGGAACACCAGUGGCGAAGGCGGCUUCCUGGACAGAAACUGACGCUGAGGCGCGAAAGCGUGGGGAGCAAACAGGAUUAGAUACCCUGGUAGUCCACGCCGUAAACGAUGGAUACUAGGUGUAGGAGGUAUCGACCCCUUCUGUGCCGGAGUUAACACAAUAAGUAUCCCACCUGGGGAGUACGGCCGCAAGGUUGAAACUUAAAGAAAUUGGCGG
RNAcentral lists this ribosomal RNA (413 nucleotides) under uncultured bacterium. Its description in RNAcentral is "bacterial SSU rRNA". It matches the Rfam family "Bacterial small subunit ribosomal RNA", at positions 505 to 916 of the family's 1533-position model. The record is from RNAcentral.